Molecule: unclassified non-coding RNA, 228 nt
Filed under: Hevea brasiliensis (rubber tree)
Lineage: Eukaryota; Viridiplantae; Streptophyta; Magnoliopsida; Malpighiales; Euphorbiaceae
Source: RNAcentral
UGGUAAUCUAUUUUUACUUGGAUUUGUGGUUUAUUUGCUUUUUGUUCACUUGAAGUUGGAAUAGUGCCAUUCUGGCAGAUUGUAAAGUUUCCCACCUUAAAACUUAGGCCCUUCAGUUUUGGAGUUAGUCUUCUUCUGAAAAUUUUCUCAUAUUAGAUACUCUUCAUUUUAUUAGAACAAUAGCAUUGACCCGAUUUAUAGUUCAACAUCAAGGACUGUUCAUUGCUG